RNAcentral lists this small nucleolar RNA (108 nucleotides) under Echinops telfairi (small Madagascar hedgehog). The record is from RNAcentral. Lineage: Eukaryota; Metazoa; Chordata; Mammalia; Afrosoricida; Tenrecidae.
CCUCAGGUCUGUAAUCUUGGUGGGCGAUACAGAGUUGUGUGCGUUCACUGUAAGUGCAGACCAACAAGAAGUUGACCCUACUUUUGAGCUCCCUCUUUAAUGGGGGGG